CUGAAGGUGAUGGCUAGUGGCGUUCUGUUAUUUUCUUUGUUGGGCCUGUCCUGUAGUAGGUGACUUCUGGGUAUUCUUCUGGCUCUGUCAAUCUGUUUCUUCACUUCAGCAGGUGGGUAUUGUAGUUGUAAGAAUGCUUGAUAGAGAUCUUGUAGGUGUUUGUCUCUG
This is a non-coding RNA of Caretta caretta (loggerhead turtle), 168 nucleotides long. NCBI's taxonomy places the organism in Eukaryota, Metazoa, Chordata, Testudines, Cheloniidae. The record is from RefSeq and is a predicted model, not a curated record.